UCAUCUCCGGGGGUAGAGCACUGUUUCGGCAAGGGGGUCAUCCCGACUUACCAACCCGAUGCAAACUGCGAAUACCGGAGAAUGUUAUCACGGGAGACACACGGCGGGUGCUAACGUCCGUCGUGAAGAGGGAAACAACCCAGACCGCCAGCUAAGGUCCCAAAGUCAUGGUUAAGUGGGAAACGAUGUGGGAAGGCCCAGACAGCCAGGAUGUUGGCUUAGAAGCAGCCAUCAUUUAAAGAAAGCGUAAUAGCUCACUGGUCGAGUCGGCCUGCGCGGAAGAUGUAACGGGGCUAAACCAUGCACCGAAGCUGCGGCAGCGACGCUGAUGCGUUGUUGGGUAGGGGAGCGUUCUGUAAGCCUGCGAAGGUGUGCUGUGAGGCAUGCUGGAGGUAUCAGAAGUGCGAAUGCUGACAUAAGUAACGAUAAAGCGGGUGAAAAGCCCGCUCGCCGGAAGACCAAGGGUUCCUGUCCAACGUUAAUCGGGGCAGGGUGAGUCGACCCCUAAGGCGAGGCCGAAAGGCGUAGUCGAUGGGAAACAGGUUAAUAUUCCUGUACUUGGUGUUACUGCGAAGGGGGGACGGAGAAGGCUAUGUUGGCCGGGCGACGGUUGUCCCGGUUUAAGCGUGUAGGCUGGUUUUCUAGGCAAAUCCGGAAAAUCAAGGCUGAGGCGUGAUGACGAGGCACUACGGUGCUGAAGCAACAAAUGCCCUGCUUCCAGGAAAAGCCUCUAAGCAUCAGGUAACAUCAAAUCGUACCCCAAACCGACACAGGUGGUCAGGUAGAGAAUACCAAGGCGCUUGAGAGAACUCGGGUGAAGGAACUAGGCAAAAUGGUGCCGUAACUUCGGGAGAAGGCACGCUGAUAUGUAGGUGAAGUCCCUUGCGGAUGGAGCUGAAAUCAGUCGAAGAUACCAGCUGGCUGCAACUGUUUAUUAAAAACACAGCACUGUGCAAACACGAAAGUGGACGUAUACGGUGUGACGCCUGCCCGGUGCCGGAAGGUUAAUUGAUGGGGUCAGCGCAAGCGAAGCUCUUGAUCGAAGCCCCGGUAAACGGCGGCCGUAACUAUAACGGUCCUAAGGUAGCGAAAUUCCUUGUCGGGUAAGUUCCGACCUGCACGAAUGGCGUAAUGAUGGCCAGGCUGUCUCCACCCGAGACUCAGUGAAAUUGAACUCGCUGUGAAGAUGCAGUGUACCCGCGGCAAGACGGAAAGACCCCGUGAACCUUUACUAUAGCUUGACACUGAACAUUGAGCCUUGAUGUGUAGGAUAGGUGGGAGGCUUGGAAGUGUGGACGCCAGUCUGCAUGGAGCCGACCUUGAAAUACCACCCUUUAAUGUUUGAUGUUCUAACGUUGACCCGUAAUCCGGGUUGCGGACAGUGUCUGGUGGGUAGUUUGACUGGGGCGGUCUCCUCCUAAAGAGUAACGGAGGAGCACGAAGGUUGGCUAAUCCUGGUCGGACAUCAGGAGGUUAGUGCAAUGGCAUAAGCCAGCUUGACUGCGAGCGUGACGGCGCGAGCAGGUGCGAAAGCAGGUCAUAGUGAUCCGGUGGUUCUGAAUGGAAGGGCCAUCGCUCAACGGAUAAAAGGUACUCCGGGGAUAACAGGCUGAUACCGCCCAAGAGUUCAUAUCGACGGCGGUGUUUGGCACCUCGAUGUCGGCUCAUCACAUCCUGGGGCUGAAGUAGGUCCCAAGGGUAUGGCUGUUCGCCAUUUAAAGUGGUACGCGAGCUGGGUUUAGAACGUCGUGAGACAGUUCGGUCCCUAUCUGCCGUGGGCGCUGGAGAACUGAGGGGGGCUGCUCCUAGUACGAGAGGACCGGAGUGGACGCAUCACUGGUGUUCGGGUUGUCAUGCCAAUGGCACUGCCCGGUAGCUAAAUGCGGAAGAGAUAAGUGCUGAAAGCAUCUAAGCACGAAACUUGCCCCGAGAUGAGUUCUCCCUGACCCUUUAAGGGUCCUGAAGGAACGUUGAAGACGACGACGUUGAUAGGCCGGGUGUGUAAGCGCAGCGAUGCGUUGAGCUAACCGGUACUAAUGAACCGUGAGGCUUAACCUU
RNAcentral lists this ribosomal RNA (2058 nucleotides) under Escherichia coli UMEA 3318-1. RNAcentral's name for it is "bacterial LSU rRNA". It matches the Rfam family "Bacterial large subunit ribosomal RNA", at positions 890 to 2925 of the family's 2925-position model. Lineage: Bacteria; Pseudomonadati; Pseudomonadota; Gammaproteobacteria; Enterobacterales; Enterobacteriaceae. The record is from RNAcentral.